CAAACUUUCAACAACGGAUCUCUUGGUUCUGGCAUCGAUGAAAACGCAGCGAAAUGCGAUAAGUAGUGUGAAUUGCAGAAUUCAGUGAAUCAUCGAAUCUUUGAACGCACAUUGCGCCCCUUGGUAUCCCGAGGGG
RNAcentral lists this ribosomal RNA (136 nucleotides) under uncultured fungus. Its description in RNAcentral is "5.8S ribosomal RNA". It matches the Rfam family "5.8S ribosomal RNA", at positions 1 to 135 of the family's 154-position model. From Rfam's summary of the family: 5.8S ribosomal RNA (5.8S rRNA) is a component of the large subunit of the eukaryotic ribosome. It is transcribed by RNA polymerase I as part of the 45S precursor that also contains 18S and 28S rRNA. Functionally, it is thought that 5.8S rRNA may be involved in ribosome translocation. The record is from RNAcentral. Lineage: Eukaryota; Fungi.